CAAUGGAGAGUUUGAUCCUGGCUCAGGACGAACGCUGGCGGCGUGCUUAACACAUGCAAGUCAAGGGGAAUCUUCAAUUCGUUGAAGUAGUACACUGGCGAACGGGUGAGUA
This 112-nucleotide ribosomal RNA is filed under the name Bacteroidota bacterium. RNAcentral's name for it is "Bacteroidetes bacterium (marine metagenome) partial 16S ribosomal RNA". It matches the Rfam family "Bacterial small subunit ribosomal RNA", at positions 1 to 112 of the family's 1533-position model. The record is from RNAcentral. Lineage: Bacteria; Pseudomonadati; Bacteroidota.